GGAUCAAUACAUUUCAGUUUAAUUAUUUUCGUUAACGUUUGUGGACGUUAAAGUCUGCGAUUUUUUUAAUACUUUUAACGUUGUUGUGAUCUCAGCGUUCAUAUCGGCUAUUCCUAGGUUGACUUCUAGUCCUGAUCAGAAUAUACAUAUAUCACUGUGGAUGGCAGUACUCGUAAUGGCGAAGCGCGCAAAAGAGCUUGCGAAGACCAUUACUUUAUAAAGCUGAUGGAUUGAAAAUCUGCUAUUAUGGUCCGAUCGUAACGAGUGAUAAACGAAUCGAAAGCAACUUAUGAGCUUCCACACGCUGCACUUCUCGAUGUUUGGGAGAAAAACAGGCGCUCGGAGAUUCUCUAAGAAGCUACAUAUAUGUUUGUAUACAAACACAACUGUACGGCGAGCAAUUUGAUGAAAGUUUAAAUCAGCAAAUAUCAACCGAAAUUGAAUGUAUCAUUGGUUACAUUAAAAAACAUUUGCCAAAAUGCUACCGUAUAAUGGACCAAUUUAAGAAAAACCACUCUUUGUGGCUAGCCGGCAAUAUGAGUUUAAGUUUGGUGCUCAAAAUAUGUCAUCGAAUAACGAGGUCGCUCAAAAAUGAAUUAUGAGGAUGCUGACGUAAAGCUCAAAAGAAAAAAACAGAAAAGCAGAAAAAUAUAACAAUUCAAGUUCUCUUUUCCUCAACGCUGCCACCAUUUCGGCAAGAAAAUCUGUUGGUCAGUUAAAACAGAAAAUUAGCAAAACUGAUUCCAGUCCCAUAUCUUCUGAAAAAGCCUUAUCCUUUUUUAUGGAAACUAAUUUUACUAAACAGCAAUAUCAAAAUAUUAGAAAACUAAAUAAAUUACAGGGCUGCGAUAUCUACCCACCAUAUUCGAAAAUAGUGGAGGAGAAAUUAAAAUGUAGGCCUGAUAAAAUUGUUUGCAGCGAAAAUGAAACUCAAGUCUCCUUACAAAACUUGUUGAACCAUACCGCUUCCCGCAUACUAAUCUACAAGAGGAAGUCUGUGAAACGCUUACGGAUAUAACUCAGUGCUUACUUAUUUUCAGCUACGGUUGGUACAGGUCAUAGCUCAUACAAACAAAUAUGUAACAUAACUGAAUCUCCAACUUUAGAUGACUCUCUUUUUGUGACCUCAAUAAUACCCAUUAAAAUGGUAGAUCAAGCAGAAAGAGUUAUUUGGCUGAAUAAAUCUCCGCAACCCACAAGAUUUUUCGGUCCUCUGAAAAUUUCGUAUAUUAAAAAAUCAACAUCUCUCAUAAUAAACGAAAAAGAAAAUUUACACACUCAAAUUAAAAAUCUAAAUGUCUACAUGCACUCUUAUAAGAACAGCGAAAUUUGAUGGUCACCUAACCCUAAUAGACGGCCAGGUUUUAAAUAUAUUAACAGGAACGAAAUUUUGUCAGUCAUGUCCAAUGUGUGGAGCAAAACCAACUCAAAUUUUUGAAAUAAAUUAUUUCUCUUCCAAAACAUUUGAUAUGAAGCCAAAUCCGGAUUAAUAUGGAAUAAGCCUCCUUCAUGCGUGGAUACGUUGCUUUGCAUUUGUACUUAAAUUAUCAAAUAGAAUCGAUCUAAAAAGUUGCAUGUCAAAGGUGAAGACAAAGACAAACUGGCGGGACGGAAACACCAAAUUCAAAAUGUGACUUUAUGUAGACAAGCCGAGGCAAAAUAGUAUGGGCAACAGUAAGGACGGAAACGCGGCGAGAAGAGCAUUCCCUAAUUCAAAACAAUUUUCUUCGAUUUUAGGAGUAGACCGCCAUUUGAUUCAUCGCCUUUACGUUAUUUUAAUUGCUAUAAAUUGUUAUUGUCCCAUAAAUUCUGAAAUAAAAAACAAAUUAUUUUGUUUUGAUACUUUCACCACA
Drosophila biarmipes is the source of this 1853-nucleotide long non-coding RNA. RefSeq lists it as uncharacterized. The transcript has 2 exons. Lineage: Eukaryota; Metazoa; Arthropoda; Insecta; Diptera; Drosophilidae. The record is from RefSeq and is a predicted model, not a curated record.